Long non-coding RNA from Schistocerca nitens (vagrant locust), 1464 nucleotides. RefSeq lists it as uncharacterized. The transcript has 10 exons. Lineage: Eukaryota; Metazoa; Arthropoda; Insecta; Orthoptera; Acrididae. The record is from RefSeq and is a predicted model, not a curated record.
AUAAUCAUUUAGAAAAGUCAACCUGUACGGGUAGCAUUCAUUUCACGCUAGUGCACUCAGGCAUGUCAGGUGGACAGGAACUUGCUCUACCCCAUGUGGAGCCAGCAUUCUGCGCGCUAGAAGUUGAGUGCGAGAAGUAGACUGUCUUCUCAAGCAUGUUAGCUGGGAGUGUGCCAAUUUUGGCCCCAAAGAACACCUGUUCUGCACACUCCACAAAAUGGCCCUCGUGGCCAGCACUACUCAGACCUGUAGGCCGGGAAGAAGCUGGUUUUAGUCCAGAGCAGCAAGCAUUCCGCUCACCACACAAAACGCCAUUCAGACUAGAGCACAAUAAGUAGGAUGUAGUCUACACAUUCCUGCUGGACAGAAGAGUGACUAUACUGGCCCAGAGCAGCAAGUGUUGUGCUGUCUAAACAAAACACUCUUCAGGACCAAGCACUGUUUGCCGGAAAGAAUCUGAUUAUAGCCUGGAGCAGCAAGAAUUCUGCUCGCCAUGCAAAACGGCGUUCGAACUCGACCUAAGGAACUAAAAUGUUACUCAGGCCUGUUUGCUGGCAGUGUGCUGAUUUUGGCCCAAAACAGCAACUGUUCUGAACACUUGACAAAACAGCCUUCAGAGCCAACCACUACUCAGAUCUGUUUUCCGUGAAGAAGCUGGUUUCAGCCCAGAGCAGGAAGCAUUCCGCUCACCAGGCGAGAUGGUGUUCAGACUCGACAACAGGAAGUAGGAUGUUAACUCAAUCCUACUGGCUGGAGGUUGACUAUAUUGGUCCAGGGCAGCAGGUAUUCGGCUCGCUAACAAAACAGCCUUCACGGCCAAGUACUACUCAGGCCUGUUGUCUAGAAAGGAGCUGAAUUUGGUGCAGAGUAGCAAGCAUCCUGCUCACUAGAUAAAACAGUCUUCAAACUCGAGCACAAGAGAUGGGACUGCCCACUUUGCGGUGAGGAGCAUUUUGGUCCAGAACAGCAACUGCCCUUCUGGCUAGACAAAUUGGCCUUCGGUGUCUAGUACUACUCAGAAAUGUUGGCCAGGAAGGAGCUAAUUUUACCUUGAAGAAGUCAGCAUUCCGCAGACCAUGCAGAACGGUCUUCAGUCUCGAGAACAAGGAGAAUGGUGUGCUUGUUUGUCGUGGUCAGGCCUAAUGUCCCAUGUGACGGGUCAGCCAGCAGUGACAAAGUCAUUACUAUUGGGGAGGACACCCACCUUCCAGGCAACGGGGACAGCUUAUCACCGACGAGGAUUUUUUUCCUGUUGUGGGGGGUAUCCGCCUACUAUAAGUGCAGCCAACAGACUAGCAGCACCACAUGCCGAUGUCAUGGACACUGACAAGACACCACCUAUUGGCUGGAGACGCUGUGGUUCUGCUGCUACAACAGAAACAUUACGUCAUUGUUCCUCUGGUGGACCUGUAUCGUCCUGGAUCGCAAGUCUGAUGAACGGGUAGCGAAGAACGAAGACUGGUC